This 253-nucleotide ribosomal RNA is filed under the name uncultured bacterium. RNAcentral's name for it is "partial 16S ribosomal RNA". It matches the Rfam family "Bacterial small subunit ribosomal RNA", at positions 524 to 776 of the family's 1533-position model. The record is from RNAcentral.
GACGUAGGGGCGAGCGUUGUCCGGAUUUAUUGGGCGUAAAGAGCUCGUAGGCGGCUCAGUAAGUCAGGUGUGAAAACUCCAGGCUCAACCUGGAGACGCCACCUGAUACUGCUGUGGCUAGAGUCCGGUAGGGGAGCAUGGAAUUCCUGGUGUAGCGGUGAAAUGCGCAGAUAUCAGGAGGAACACCAGUGGCGAAGGCGGUGCUCUGGGCCGGAACUGACGCUGAGGAGCGAAAGCAUGGGGAGCGAACAGG